RNAcentral lists this ribosomal RNA (467 nucleotides) under uncultured bacterium. Its description in RNAcentral is "bacterial SSU rRNA". It matches the Rfam family "Bacterial small subunit ribosomal RNA", at positions 917 to 1382 of the family's 1533-position model. The record is from RNAcentral.
GGGCCCGCACAAGCGGUGGAGCAUGUGGUUCAAUUCGAAGCAACGCGCAGAACCUUACCAACCUUUGACAUCCCGAUCGCGGGCACCAGAGAUGGAGCCUUUCAGUUCGGCUGGAUCGGAGACAGGUGCUGCAUGGCUGUCGUCAGCUCGUGUCGUGAGAUGUUGGGUUAAGUCCCGCAACGAGCGCAACCCUCGCCCUUAGUUGCCAUCAUUCAGUUGGGCACUCUAAGGGGACUGCCGGUGAUAAGCCGGAGGAAGGUGGGGAUGACGUCAAGUCCUCAUGGCCCUUACAGGUUGGGCUACACACGUGCUACAAUGGCGGUGACAGAGGGAUGCAAUGGAGCAAUCCUGCGCAAAUCUCAAAAAGCCGUCUCAGUUCGGAUUGUGCUCUGCAACUCGAGCACAUGAAGUUGGAAUCGCUAGUAAUCGCAGAUCAGCACGCUGCGGUGAAUACGUUCCCGGGCCUU